GUACCAAUGUGUCAGGAAGCACGUCAGAUAAUAAGGAAUAUCAAGCAGAAAUUAAGUAACUUCCUUUUCAAAAAAGGAGUAGGAUAUGAUAAGCUGUAUUGACUGAGUGGCUUGGGAAUACCUAGGCUUUUGUCAGGAUAGAUAAGAGACCCACUCCAUUCUCUAAUGCUGGUAAAUGGAAUAUGGAUGCUCGGCAUUGGGGUAGAAUUCUAUGCAGCUGGUUACCUAUAAGAUAGGUAGAAAUUAGUAUAAGAACCUGGUUAGCGGUAUAAAGAAAAUGGGAAGUUCACAGUAUUGUAGAAAUAAGUAGUGCAGGUGCUUUAAUACAGAGAAAGUCUUAUUAAAGUUUCA
This 351-nucleotide unclassified non-coding RNA is filed under the name Hevea brasiliensis (rubber tree). Lineage: Eukaryota; Viridiplantae; Streptophyta; Magnoliopsida; Malpighiales; Euphorbiaceae. The record is from RNAcentral.